UUCAUAUAGACAGCAGGACGGUGGCCAUGGAAGUCGGAAUCCGCUAAGGAGUGUGUAACAACUCACCUGCCGAAUGAAUUAGCCCUGAAAAUGGAUGGCGCUGAAGCGGGAUGCCGAUACUCAGCCAUCAAAGCAAAUGCGAAGCUUUGAUGUGUAAGAGGGCGUGAGCACGGUGCAGAAGCCUUUGGCGUGAGCCUGGGUUGAACUGUGUUUAGUGCAGAUCUUGGUGUUAGUAGCAAAUAUUCAAAUGAGAACUUUGAAGACCGAAGUGGAGAAGGGUUCCAUGAGAACAGCACUUGGUCAUGGGUUAUCCGAUCCUAAGGCAUAGGGAAAUUCCUUGUAAUACAAGAGCAAUUUGCUCGUUGCCGAAAGGGAAUGAGGUUAAUAUUCCUCAGACUGGACGUGGAUAAUGUAUGGUAACAUAAGUGAGCCCGGAGACAUCGGUAUGAACUCCUGGAAGAGUUAUCUUUUCUUUUUAACAAUCUAUCGCCCUGAAAUGGGAUUAUCCCGAGCUAGGGCUUUAUGGUUGGCAGAGCAUUGCACUCUAUGCAAUGUCAGGUGCGUUCAUAACGAUCCUUGAAAAUCCGGGUAAGAGAUUUAUUCGCACGCCAGGUCGUACCAAUAACCGCAUCAGGUCUCCAAGGUUAGCAGCCUCUGGUCAAUAGGAUAAUGCAGAUAAGGGAAUUCGGCAAAUUAGAUCCGUAACUUCGGGAAAAGGAUUGGCUCUGAGGAUUGGGUUCAAGGGCCCUUUCAUGAACGCUAAGAAGUCCAGUUAGUGUGGAGGCAACGAAGCGCUUCUAGACUUCGAACGCUGGAUUGUUUGGGACGCUUCAUCGGCUUUCCUUGAACGUUUAACAAUUAACUCAGAACUGAAGCGGACAAGGGGAAUCCGACUGUUUAAUAAAAACAUAGCAUUGUGAUGGCCUGAAAAGGUGUUGACACAAUGUGAAUUCUGCCCAGUGCUUUGAAUGUCAAAGUGAAGUAAUUCAACCAAGCGCAGGUAAACGGCGGGAGUAACUAUG
This 1022-nucleotide ribosomal RNA is filed under the name Nitrospira sp. RNAcentral's name for it is "partial 23S ribosomal RNA". It matches the Rfam family "Eukaryotic large subunit ribosomal RNA", at positions 1228 to 2267 of the family's 3401-position model. The record is from RNAcentral. Lineage: Bacteria; Pseudomonadati; Nitrospirota; Nitrospiria; Nitrospirales; Nitrospiraceae.